RNAcentral lists this ribosomal RNA (445 nucleotides) under uncultured bacterium. Its description in RNAcentral is "partial 16S ribosomal RNA". It matches the Rfam family "Bacterial small subunit ribosomal RNA", at positions 354 to 796 of the family's 1533-position model. The record is from RNAcentral.
GUGAGGAAUAUUGGUCAAUGGGCGGGAGCCUGAACCAGCCAAGUCGCGUGAAGGAAGAAGGAUCUAUGGUUCGUAAACUUCUUUUGCAGGGGAAUAAAGUGCAGGACGUGUCCUGUUUUGUAUGUACCCUGAGAAUAAGGAUCGGCUAACUCCGUGCCAGCAGCCGCGGUAAUACGGAGGAUCCGAGCGUUAUACGGAUUUAUUGGGUUUAAAGGGUGCGUAGGUGGUUUGAUAAGUCAGCGGUGAAAGUUUGCAGCUUAACUGUAAAAUUGCCGUUGAAACUGUCGAUCUUGAGUGCAAAUGAGGUAAGCGGAAUGUGUUGUGUAGCGGUGAAAUGCUUAGAUAUAACACAGAACACCGAUUGCGAAGGCAGCUUACUGGGAUGCAACUGACGCUCAUGCACGAAAGCGUGGGGAUCAAACAGGAUUAGAUACCCGGGUAGUCC